UUGAAAGGGAAACGAUUGAAGUCAGUCAUGCUAAUAGGGAAUCAACUUGAUGGGUCGUUCCCCCGGGAGCGAUCUUUCUUGUGCACUUCCUUGUUCGGCAGGUUAGCAUCAAUUUCGGUUAUCAUCAAAAAAUUGAGGGAAUGUGACUUCUUUCGGGAAGUGUUAUAGACCUUGGUUAUAUGUGAUAACUGGGAUUGAGGAUUGCAGCGGAUGCUUUUGGGCUAGUCACCUACCUUCUGACGGUUACCCUGCUUUCGAUAGCUUGCUAACGAUCGUGGGAUAUAACAGUCCUAGAUGUUAGAGUGAUCUUAUAUUCGUUAAGGAUGUUGACGUA
RNAcentral lists this ribosomal RNA (334 nucleotides) under Acaulospora sp. S120. Its description in RNAcentral is "LSU rRNA". Lineage: Eukaryota; Fungi; Glomeromycota; Glomeromycetes; Diversisporales; Acaulosporaceae. The record is from RNAcentral.